GAGCUCUUAAUCCUAAUCUCCCUUAUCAAUCGCAAAGGUCAAAUCACAGGUUACACUCUGUGUUUGUUUCCAUCCUCUGGGUCUCAGUUUUCAUUUCACUGGCUUGCUUUUGCUCCUAGGGAUUCUGUGAAGCUCUUAUCUGUGUCAGAUGCUGUACAAACAAAGGAAUCAAUUCCUUUUCCAAAGACCUGACAUCCAGCUUGAAGAUGGCAGUGAACUGCAAGCAUGGCUAGAACUCUGUGGUGUUUAAUUGUUAGGUUUCAAUCCAAGAUUUUUGAAGAAGAGAAUUAAUGUAUGGAGGAUAACAACUAGUUGUCUAAUUCCAUUAUUUAAUAUUUGCUUAUUUCUCCCUUUCUUUCUUUCUUUCUUGCUUGCUUGCUUUCUUCCUCUCUCUCUCUCUCUCUCUCUCUCUCUUUCUCUCUUCUUUUUAUAGUGUGUUUGUGUCCAUUCUCUGGAAGAAGCCCAGUGUUUAGCCAGCUGCUUUGUAUUAUUCAGGUGGAAGAAGGAACAAAGUCAUUUUGGUCUGGAAUACAGUGGGAGCUCCAGGAGCAGGAAAGAAGGGACAGCACACUGCUUCAGUCUCAGUCAUGACAUCCCUGAGAGGCAGUGCUUAUGAGGAGCAGGAAUGUGAAGGGACAGUUUGAAUAUUUGAUAGCACACUCCAAGGUACCUGGAUGAGCAACUAAUUUAGAAACCAAAGCAAUAGGCAUGCAUCUCGAGGGAAUAGUAAACAAAGUUGGAGUCAUUCCUAAUUAUUGGGAUACGGCUCUGUCAUCAGCUCCUUCUCCAGAUACUAUUAUUUAUAGAAAUAAUUAGCGUGCAGCGUUUACAUUUGGGAUGCACACAGUUCUUUAAUUGGGGGCUGAACUUGUGUUUGGCGAUCUGGAUUCCUAUCCUUACUCAUCUGCCUAUCAUUUAUAAAGAUUAUAUAUCUGGAACGUGACCUGUACAUAAUUACAAUUAAUUAACUCACCAGCAGUAAUGCUGAAAAACUUGCAUUUAAAUCAGGGGUUGAAUAAUUAAAGCAAUUAGUUAGAACUGACUAUUUGUAAUACGGCUUCUUGAAAAUAUGGAAUAAUUGCUAAUCUUCUAGGCAGAGAUGGACAGAACAUCAGUUUGGUAUUUAAUUUUGUAAAUAUGAAUUAAGCGAGGUGGUGCAAGUACAAAAUCUGUUUUUAUUUUUUAAAGUUUUCAGAGGCUGUAAGUGAUGGGCAACCCAGAGGAUUAUGUCAGGACACGGUCAUUUUAGGAUAUCCCCACAAGCUAUUGAAACAUUUCCCUCUUUUGGCAUUCAUGAUCUUGAUUUAUAAUCCUUAAUUUGUGUGGUCAGGAUGGUGCUGCUGGCAGAGUAACAGUCCUUACCACUCCUAAGCGUGCUGGGGCUGGUGCUUGUGCCUCAGCAGGGCACUUACUCUGUGGUCCCUAUGCCUCCCUUAGCCAGCUCCCUAUUCAUUACUUACUUCAGGAGGGUGUGA
This 1475-nucleotide long non-coding RNA is filed under the name Coturnix japonica (Japanese quail). RNAcentral describes it as "lncRNA (ENSCJPG00005007940.1)". Lineage: Eukaryota; Metazoa; Chordata; Aves; Galliformes; Phasianidae. The record is from RNAcentral.